ACGCUCGACACCUACGUGAGGCAGCAGUUGGGAAUAUUGGACAAUGGAGGAAACUCUGAUCCAGUGACGCCGCGUGAAGGAAGAAGGUCUUCGGAUUGUAAACUUAUUUUGUCAGGGAAGAAAAAAUGACUGUACCUGAAGAAAAAGCACCGGCUAACUACGUGCCAACAGCCGCGGUAAUCUGAGCGGGCUGGCAAGGC
This 200-nucleotide ribosomal RNA is filed under the name uncultured bacterium. Its description in RNAcentral is "partial 16S ribosomal RNA". It matches the Rfam family "Bacterial small subunit ribosomal RNA", at positions 328 to 539 of the family's 1533-position model. The record is from RNAcentral.